Long non-coding RNA from Chinchilla lanigera (long-tailed chinchilla), 496 nucleotides. RefSeq lists it as uncharacterized. The record is from RefSeq and is a predicted model, not a curated record. The transcript is spliced from 3 exons. Lineage: Eukaryota; Metazoa; Chordata; Mammalia; Rodentia; Chinchillidae.
UCAACCGGGGAAGGGAGCGCGCUCAUUCAAGAACCCGCGCGCCGCGGCGCAGACCCCAGGACGCAGCGCGACCGCGCGCCGCCUAGCUGGGGGCUUUGAGGAAGCGCGUGCGGGCCCAGAGCCAACCCGGUGCGGGUGUGGACCUUCUGCAUCCCACCUCCGGAGAGGACCCGGGCAGGAGGCGGGCGCACCCAGAAAUGGGUCGGGACGCCCUCCGCAAAAGGCAGGUGGAAAGGAACUGCAGCUGCAGGAAUAGCCACGGAGGGAGCCUGAACUGGAGUGGGUGAGAAGGCGGAGAAGCUUCCGGUGAAGAUGAAUCUGAGCUUUCCCAAAAGGAGCCGGGCCUGGGACACCCUCCUGGACCCUGCCUGGUCUGAGACCUCUCUCCUCUGAUUCCUGGUUGCUGCAGCCAGGCUCCAAAUCCACCCACCAGCAAAUUCCCAUGCACGCUUCAAGGAAAAAAAAAAAGCCUCAGUAAAGCCCAGGAUGGUGGCAG